RNAcentral lists this ribosomal RNA (253 nucleotides) under uncultured bacterium. Its description in RNAcentral is "partial 16S ribosomal RNA". It matches the Rfam family "Bacterial small subunit ribosomal RNA", at positions 524 to 776 of the family's 1533-position model. The record is from RNAcentral.
GACAGAGGUGCCGAGCGUUAGGCGGAAUCACUGGGCUUAAAGCGUGUGUAGGCGGAUCUGUAAGUACCUUGUGAAAUCCCACGGCUCAACCGUGGAACUGCUUGGUAUACUGCGGGUCUUGAGCCACCUAGGGGCAAGUGGAACAAACGGUGGAGCGGUGAAAUGCGUAGAUAUCGUCUGGAACGCCGAAGGUGAAAACAGCUCGCUGGGGUUGUGCUGACGCUGAGACACGAAAGCCAGGGGAGCGAACGGG